Molecule: long non-coding RNA, 155 nt
Organism: Sapajus apella (tufted capuchin)
Lineage: Eukaryota; Metazoa; Chordata; Mammalia; Primates; Cebidae
Exons: 3
Source: RefSeq, a predicted model, not a curated record
GACAGGAGAAUUUAGCUGGGUGUGGUGGCUCAAACCUGUAAUCCCAGCACUUUGGAAGGCCACGAUGGGCAGAUCAUUGGAAGUCAGUAGUUAGAGACCAGCCUGGUCAACAUGGUGAAAUACUGUCUCUACUAAAAAUACAAAAAUUAGACGUG